This is a long non-coding RNA of Perognathus longimembris pacificus (Pacific pocket mouse), 1372 nucleotides long. RefSeq lists it as uncharacterized. Lineage: Eukaryota; Metazoa; Chordata; Mammalia; Rodentia; Heteromyidae. The transcript has 3 exons. The record is from RefSeq and is a predicted model, not a curated record.
UCAUUGUGCAUGUCCUGGGAAGGUGGGGGACAGGGAAAUAGGGAGGGAUGCAUGUUCUAGUUGGCCCUCCUACCCCAUUUUCUGUGGCCUCACGUCUCAGUGCUCACAAAAAUGAUGUGACCUUCACCCCCAAAAGCUUAGGGUGCCUGCCUAUGUUGUUUGUUUGUUUUUUUUAUAGCAAAGAGUAACAAAAAAGUUACGAUUAUUUGUGCAGUAAACUUUUCUAUAUUGAGAGGUGGGAGAAUGGACUUCUGGUGUUAAAAGACAUUCAACUAAAUAAGGCAUAGUGACACACGCCUGUAAUCUCAGCACUCAGGGGACAGAGGACAAGCUAAAGCAGGAGAGGAGGAUCAGAAGAGUUUAAUGUCAACCUGGGCUAAAUGAUGAGAAACUGUCUCAAAAAUCAAACAAACAAGCAAAUAAACAACAACAAAAACAAAACCACAAAGAUAAGCAGGCAAGGUUAUUCAGGCCUAGCAUCUUCUGGAGGAGGAUUAUGGUUUAAGACUACGAGCCCGGGCAAAAAGUUCUUGAGAUCCCAACUCAAUCAAGUUUUAAAAAAAAAUGAAUAUGGUAGCAUAUUCUAUCAUCUCAGUUAUUUGGGAAGCAUACAUAGGAAGAUAAUUAAACUGACAUGUUGAACUGAAACUCCUUUGAACGACUAAAGGAUAAUUUAAGUAGCCAGAUAAAUAGAUAGAUAGACGGACAGAAAUAUGAAGUAAAAAGGGCUCAGAGCAUGGCUCAAGAGUAGAGCACCUGCCUAGUAAAUACAAGGACAUGAGUUGGGAAAAAGGAUGUAAAGUAAAAGAAUAAGCCUUAAAGGCUAAAGAUGAAGAAUGAUGACAACAAGACUUUGGGAGCCCAGUAAGGAGAAAUAGGCAGUGGUGAACAUGCUGUUUUACUAAAUGGAGAAGCAAAGCCAGAAAAGCUGAGCAAAUCCCAGGUGAAGAAACAGGACUCACAGACAUGAAGAGCAUUCCAGUCCAUCUAGGGAGUGAGGAAGGCAAGUCACUGAAGAGGCCUUAUCCUACCAUCCAGGAGAUUCAGCUCCAAAGUCACAGGGCUUUCCCGCAACCCACUUUCACCAUGGGCCCUUCUGGAAGCUCCCUUAGCACAGAGUGAAUGACACUUUCUAACACCUGCCAUGUUUUAUGGGAGGCCUAUCCUCCCCCAGCAUGGAACAUUCCUAGAGAAUAAAGGGUACAUCUUAUUCCUUAUAUUCCAAGAUUAAAGUGAGGAUUCAGUAAGGUACAUUGGAUAGAAGGAUGGGCAAUGUCAGCUGCUUAUAAGAAAAUACACCUUCUCAGUAUGGAUAGAUGAUAAACAAGUCUUUAUCCAGACACUCUGCCUAUCCGCAGAGAUCUGGUGCCUU